This 390-nucleotide unclassified non-coding RNA is filed under the name soil metagenome. RNAcentral's name for it is "partial contains 5.8S ribosomal RNA, internal transcribed spacer 2, and large subunit ribosomal RNA". The stretch from base 1 to 122 matches the Rfam family "5.8S ribosomal RNA", at positions 35 to 154 of the family's 154-position model. The record is from RNAcentral.
GAUGAAGAACGUAGCGAAAUGCGAUACUUGGUGUGAAUUGCAGAAUCCCGUGAACCAUCGAGUCUUUGAACGCAAGUUGCGCCCGAAGCCAUUAGGCCGAGGGCACGCCUGCCUGGGCGUCACACGUCGUUGCCCCCCCAUCUACUCCUUCGGGAUUGCGGGGGGCGGAUGAUGGCCUCCCGUGCGCCUCGUCGCGCGGUUGGCAUAAAUGCCAAGUCCUCGGCGACGCACGCCACGACAAUCGGUGGUUGCGAAACCUCGGUUGCCCGUCGUGUGCGGUCGUCGCGCAUCGAGGGCUCGAAAAAAUUGCCGGCUCUGUUUCGGCUUUCAACGCGACCCCAGGUCAGGCGGGGUUACCCGCUGAAUUUAAGCAUAUCAAUAAGCGGAGGA